RNAcentral lists this ribosomal RNA (439 nucleotides) under uncultured bacterium. Its description in RNAcentral is "bacterial SSU rRNA". It matches the Rfam family "Bacterial small subunit ribosomal RNA", at positions 338 to 795 of the family's 1533-position model. The record is from RNAcentral.
CCUACGGGGGGCAGCAGUGGGGAAUAUUGCACAAUGGGGGAAACCCUGAUGCAGCCAUGCCGCGUGUGUGAAGAAGGCCUUAGGGUUGUAAAGCUCUUUCACCGGUGAAGAUAAUGACGGUAACCGGAGAAGAAGCCCCGGCUAACUUCGUGCCAGCAGCCGCGGUAAUACGAAGGGGGCUAGCGUUGUUCGGAAUUACUGGGCGUAAAGCGCGCGUAGGCGGAUAGAUAAGUCAGAGGUGAAAUCCCGGGGCUCAACCCCGGAAUUGCCUUUGAUACUGUUUAUCUUGAGUGCAGAAGAGGUAAGUGGAAUUCCGAGUGUAGAGGUGAAAUUCGUAGAUAUUCGGAGGAACACCAGUGGCGAAGGCGGCUUACUGUCUGCAACUGACGCUGAGGCGCGAAAGCGUGGGGAGCAAACAGGAUUAGAUACCCCUGUAGUC